Molecule: long non-coding RNA, 622 nt
Organism: Dendrobium catenatum
Lineage: Eukaryota; Viridiplantae; Streptophyta; Magnoliopsida; Asparagales; Orchidaceae
Exons: 2
Source: RefSeq, a predicted model, not a curated record
UGGACUUCCUUAGCUUUGGGGAUCUGUAUUUCCUUUUCGUCGUCCUCUUAAUUACUUGCCGAGUUGCGUGUUCAGCAAUUCACUGCUAUUUUGUUCCCAUUCUUCCUCUUCUAGAUGAUAUCCAUCUUUCUGAUCAAUUAAAGCUUCGAGGGAGAUUUUAGGUUUAGACCGCGACUCGAAGUAGGGCCCGAAGGAAUUGAAUGAUUUCCUGAAGGAUACUCAAAUGCCUUGAAGAGCUGGUAGAAACACCCAGACCUUGCUUUUAGGUCCCCAAUCUUCGCAUGGGAGUGUUCAGAAGAUCGAUUUCAAUACAAAGUCACAUCGUUCAUGCACUUAAUGCAAUGCAAGCUGGCUCUUCGAUUAAUUGAAUAUAAAGGAAAAUAUUGGAACGAGCUUUAAUGAGAUAAGUACCUCCAUUUUUUAAACCGUUGGAUUUUUCUGAACCAACAGAGUUGCCCAUCAAUUCUCCAUUGUUUCUCCUCUGUUGAACAAGAGAAAGAUUACACCAUUUUUUGUUUCCUAGUUGUGUUUAUUAUAUAUAUAUCUAUUUAAAAUUUGAUUUAUUGUUAACUGCUUUUGACUAGUUGAAUUUGUCAGUAGAAGGAAUGGUGCUCUUCAGUUA